RNAcentral lists this ribosomal RNA (497 nucleotides) under uncultured bacterium. RNAcentral's name for it is "partial 16S ribosomal RNA". It matches the Rfam family "Bacterial small subunit ribosomal RNA", at positions 28 to 507 of the family's 1533-position model. The record is from RNAcentral.
GACGAACGCUGGCGGCGUGCCUAAUACACGCAAGUUGAGCGAUGAAGAUUGGUGCUUGCACCAAUUUGAAGAGCAGCGAACGGGUGAGUAACGCGUGGGGAAUCUGCCUUUGAGCGGGGGACAACAUUUGGAAACGAAUGCUAAUACCGCAUAACAACUUUAAACAUAAGUUUUAAGUUUGAAAGAUGCAAUUGCAUCACUCAAAGAUGAUCCCGCGUUGUAUUAGCUAGUUGGUGAGGUAAAGGCUCACCAAGGCGAUGAUACAUAGCCGACCUGAGAGGGUGAUCGGCCACAUUGGGACUGAGACACGGCCCAAACUCCUACGGGAGGCAGCAGUAGGGAAUCUUCGGCAAUGGACGAAAGUCUGGCCGAGCAACGCCGCGUGAGUGAAGAAGGUUUUCGGAUCGUAAAACUCUGUUGGUAGAGAAGAACGUUGGUGAGAGUGGAAAGCUCAUCAAGUGACGGUAACUACCCAGAAAGGGACGGCUAACUACGUG